GGAUUUGGUCGGGCAUCACUGUCCGUAUUGACUUGAUGGAUUCUUACCUUCUGAAUAACCAGCAUGCUAUUAAGUUAGUGCGUUGGGGAAGCAGAUCUAUUACCUUGAAAAAAUUAGUGCUUAAAGCGAGCUAGUGCUUGAAUAGAUUAGCAUGGAAUAAUAAAAUAGACUAUUUUGUUGGUUUCUAGGAUCACCGUA
This 198-nucleotide ribosomal RNA is filed under the name uncultured Acaulospora. RNAcentral's name for it is "partial small subunit ribosomal RNA". Lineage: Eukaryota; Fungi; Glomeromycota; Glomeromycetes; Diversisporales; Acaulosporaceae. The record is from RNAcentral.